CUUUGAUAGGUUUGGUGAAGGUAAAAAGCAAUUUCUUUAGGAAUGAAUAGAGAAGAGAUGGAUGUGACAUGUCGUUGCUUCCACUGCAAAUUGCAAUCUCACCGCAGCUUUCACUCUUCCAUUUCAUCUAUCGGAAAAGUAAUUUCUUUCAUUCUCUAAUCCUUCUCUAUCAAUAGGCAAUUUCCUACCCCUUCACAGCUUUCCCUUCCACUCUCGAAAUCUCCAGAUCCCCUCCUCCCUUCACAGCUUUGAUGACUGUUCAAAUUCCAGACAGAACCAUCAUAGUCACCUCCUCCUUCUUACCUCCAUCAAUAGCCACCUCCUCACCUUUCCAUAUGCACCCUGUCGAGAGCUUCCACCAAGUCGGGCACGACAGAAGUAACUCCACCGUGCGGUUGUUCCAUGACGCCACUUUGGCCGUUGCCCCAUAGACUUUUCUAGGUAUCGUUCUAGAAGCAACACUUUUGCCAUUUAAGAAAUUCUAUGGAGAUGUCAUUUGUGCUUUAUAAGGAUUGGAUUUUCCCAAGCAAGUACUGAUCACAAAUCUUCUGAAGAGAACGCUAGCGAGGCUUUCUAAAUUGGCUUUUACCUUGAUGAGGAUUUCAGUGUCAUAAGCUUUGCUCUUCUGCUGUGCCGUUUCCCGUUUCUCGAAUUCAUCUGUCUGUAGCCUUUUGUUUUUUGAUUUGGAUUGCCUUUGGAAUGAACAUCUGCAAGCUUCCUAAAUGAAUCUAUAAAUACUCCUCCAUUUUUCAAGGAGCUGCGAACUCGAGUACUGCUAUGCGUUCACCUGUUCUUCCAGCUCCAAGGUCCUAUUCUGAAUGUUCAAUAUUAACAAAUUUGUUUUUUUUUCUCCCUUGAAUUUAAUUGUUGUUCUGGCGCAGUCUGAGGUAGUAGAUCGGAGAGACUUGCAUGCGGGUCAUGCGAUUUAAUACAAAACAUGCUUUGUACUAAAAGUUGUUUGAUACGUGGAUUUUUUUUUUGAACAUUGAUACUUGGAUAUUAUAUAUCAGAAAUGUUUCACUUUUUUUAA
Lotus japonicus is the source of this 1030-nucleotide long non-coding RNA. RefSeq lists it as uncharacterized. The record is from RefSeq and is a predicted model, not a curated record. NCBI's taxonomy places the organism in Eukaryota, Viridiplantae, Streptophyta, Magnoliopsida, Fabales, Fabaceae. The transcript has 5 exons.